AAGUCGUAACAAGGUCUCCGUAGGUGAACCUGCGGAGGGAUCAUUAGAAAUGCUUGUAUUUUUCAUUUGGUGAACGUGUUCUUUGAAUGCGCUCAUCGGAUGGAAACAUCAUUUCCUGGCUUUUGUCGACACUCGUCUAGCCUCACGGCCGGGCUUGGGUCGCAAUUGCCGGAUAAUCGGGAAGAAGCCUUGUGCUUUGACCCACUAUCUACACCUUUUUAGUCUGAACCUCUUCAGCGAAAGUCUGGAUAAUCGUGCUUCGGCGCGUGCAUUCUUUCUUUUAAUGAUAAAAACAAAAAUUAAAACAACUUUCAACAAUGGAUCCCUCGAUUCUCC
This 336-nucleotide unclassified non-coding RNA is filed under the name fungal sp. RNAcentral describes it as "partial internal transcribed spacer region". The stretch from base 1 to 46 matches the Rfam family "Eukaryotic small subunit ribosomal RNA", at positions 1786 to 1831 of the family's 1831-position model. The record is from RNAcentral. Lineage: Eukaryota; Fungi.